CCCUUAGAUGUUCUGGGCCGCACGCGCGCUACACUGAUGCGUUCAACAAGUAUACAACCUUCAUCGAUAGAUGUGGGUAAUCUUUUGAAUGCGCAUCGUGAUUGGGAUAGAUGAUUGCAAUUUUUCAUCUUCAACGAGGAAUACCUAGUAAGCGCGAGUCAUCAGCUCGCGUUGAUUACGUCCCUGCCCUUUGUACACACCGCCCGUCGCUACUACCGAUUGAAUGGUUUAGUGAGAUCUCCGGAUUGGCGUCUUUGCGGCUUCACGGCUGCGAUGAUGCCGAAAAGUUGAUCAAACUUGAUCAUUUAGAGGAAGUAAAAGUCGUAACA
This 329-nucleotide ribosomal RNA is filed under the name uncultured eukaryote. Its description in RNAcentral is "partial 18S ribosomal RNA". It matches the Rfam family "Eukaryotic small subunit ribosomal RNA", at positions 1470 to 1796 of the family's 1831-position model. The record is from RNAcentral.